GACAUAAAUCUUGUCCAAAACGACCUUUUUUUUAUAGGUACGAAGUGAGUAUAUGAAAUAUAAUUAACAUCUGUAAUAAUCUGCCACAAAUAUAUACAGCGUGGAAAACUGAGCAAGCAACAUGAAACCAGACGGCCGGUAUGAAAAUUGACCUGCUGCUCCCAUCCGUUGUAAAAUACAUAAUAGGUGCGAAUAGUUAAUUAAGCUAACCAAGAGUGUAUUAAUUAGCAGGCUUUUCUAUGUAAAAUUUAAAUAUCUACUAGAAAAUAUAGAAUUUACUAGUGACCUUUAUAAUUUCACAAAAAUACAAAGGGUAUAUAUGUUGGUCAUUUUGACUACUGUCUCUUUUUCAAAAAAUAAAAUGCCAAAUAACUAGUCAAACAGUUUCUUAGAGUGAUUUUAAUUUGUCAAAUGAUGUUUCCAAUGAGCUAGAA
This 434-nucleotide long non-coding RNA is filed under the name Sorghum bicolor (sorghum). RNAcentral's name for it is "long non-coding RNA (SBIC_LNC007531)". The record is from RNAcentral. Lineage: Eukaryota; Viridiplantae; Streptophyta; Magnoliopsida; Poales; Poaceae.